RNAcentral lists this small RNA (83 nucleotides) under Marmota monax (woodchuck). The record is from RNAcentral. Lineage: Eukaryota; Metazoa; Chordata; Mammalia; Rodentia; Sciuridae.
GACGGGUGUGGUGGUGCACACCUGUAAUCCCAGCUGCUUGAGAGGCUGAGGCAGGAGGAUUGCAAGUUCAAAGCCAGCCUCAG